CAGGGAAUAGUUUAGUUAGAAUAUCAGCUUUGGGUGCUGAUGGCGGGGCUGUUGCCUCUUCCUUGA
Molecule: transfer RNA, 66 nt
Filed under: Mustela putorius (European polecat)
Lineage: Eukaryota; Metazoa; Chordata; Mammalia; Carnivora; Mustelidae
Description: tRNA-Pro
Source: RNAcentral